GACGAACGCUGGCGGCGUGCCUAAUACAUGCAAGUAGAACGCUGAAGCGAGGAGCUUGCUCUUCUUGGAUGAGUUGCGCACGGGUGAGUAACGCGUAGGUAACCUGCCUUGUAGCGGGGGAUAACUAUUGGAAACGAUAGCUAAUACCGCAUAACAAUGGAUGACACAUGUCAUUUAUUUGAAAGGGGCAAUUGCUCCACUACAAGAUGGACCUGCGUUGUAUUAGCUAGUAGGUGAGGUAAUGGCUCACCUAGGCGACGAUACAUAGCCGACCUGAGACGGUGAUCGGCCACACUGGGACUGAGACACGGCCCAGACUCCUACGGGAGGCAGCAGUAGGGAAACGUCGGCAAUGGGGGCAACCCUGACCGAGAAACGCCGCGGGAGUGAAGAAGGGUGUCGGAUCGUAAAGCUCUGUUGUAAGUCAAGAACGGGUGUGAGAGUGGAAAGUUCACACUGUGACGGUAGCUGAUCAGAAAGGGACGGCUAACUACGUG
Molecule: ribosomal RNA, 497 nt
Filed under: uncultured bacterium
Lineage: Bacteria
Description: partial 16S ribosomal RNA
Rfam family: Bacterial small subunit ribosomal RNA
Source: RNAcentral